This 1056-nucleotide ribosomal RNA is filed under the name uncultured bacterium. RNAcentral describes it as "bacterial SSU rRNA". It matches the Rfam family "Bacterial small subunit ribosomal RNA", at positions 448 to 1501 of the family's 1533-position model. The record is from RNAcentral.
UCGGAGUAACUGCCGGUACCUUGACGGUACCUAACCAGAAAGCCACGGCUAACUACGUGCCAGCAGCCGCGGUAAUACGUAGGUGGCAAGCGUUGUCCGGAAUUAUUGGGCGUAAAGCGCGCGCAGGCGGCCUUUUAAGUCUGAUGUGAAAGCCCACGGCUCAACCGUGGAAGGUCAUUGGAAACUGGGGGACUUGAGUACAGAAGAGGAAAGCGGAAUUCCACGUGUAGCGGUGAAAUGCGUAGAGAUGUGGAGGAACACCAGUGGCGAAGGCGGCUUUCUGGUCUGUAACUGACGCUGAGGCGCGAAAGCAUGGGGAGCAAACAGGAUUAGAUACCCUGGUAGUCCAUGCCGUAAACGAUGAGUGCUAAGUGUUAGGGGGUUUCCGCCCCUUAGUGCUGGAGCAAACGCAUUAAGCACUCCGCCUGGGGAGUACGGCCGCAAGGCUGAAACUCAAAGGAAUUGACGGGGACCCGCACAAGCGGUGGAGCAUGUGGUUUAAUUCGAAGCUACGCGAAGAACCUUACCAGGUCUUGACAUCCCGCUGACCGGCAUGGAGAUAUGUCUUUCCCUUCGGGGACAGCGGUGACAGGUGGUGCAUGGUUGUCGUCAGCUCGUGUCGUGAGAUGUUGGGUUAAGUCCCGCAACGAGCGCAACCCUUGAUCUUAGUUGCCAGCAUUUAGUUGGGCACUCUAAGGUGACUGCCGGUGACAAACCGGAGGAAGGUGGGGAUGACGUCAAAUCAUCAUGCCCCUUAUGACCUGGGCUACACACGUGCUACAAUGGACGGUACAAAGGGCUGCGAACCCGCGAGGGGGAGCCAAUCCCAUAAAACCGUUCCCAGUUCGGAUUGCAGGCUGCAACUCGCCUGCAUGAAGCCGGAAUCGCUAGUAAUCGUGGAUCAGCAUGCCACGGUGAAUACGUUCCCGGGUCUUGUACACACCGCCCGUCACACCACGAGAGUUUGUAACACCCGAAGUCGGUGGGGUAACCCUUACGGGAGCCAGCCGCCGAAGGUGGGACAGAUGAUUGGGGUGAAGUCGUAACAAGGUAACC